UACGGGGGGGGCAAGCGUUGUUCGGAAUUACUGGGCGUAAAGGGCGCGUAGGCGGUUUGUUAAGUUGGAUGUGAAAACUCUGGGCUUAACCCAGAGCCUGCAUCCAAAACUGGCAGGCUAGAGUUUUGGAGGGGGAAGCGGAAUUCCUGGUGUAGCAGUGAAAUGCGUAGAUAUCAGGAGGAACACCGGUGGCGAAGGCGGCUUCCUGGACAAAAAACUGACGCUGAGGCGCGAAAGCUAGGGGAGCAAACAGG
This 254-nucleotide ribosomal RNA is filed under the name uncultured bacterium. RNAcentral's name for it is "partial 16S ribosomal RNA". It matches the Rfam family "Bacterial small subunit ribosomal RNA", at positions 524 to 776 of the family's 1533-position model. The record is from RNAcentral.